GAUGAACGCUGGCGGCGUGCCUAAUACAUGCAAGUCGAGCGAACAGGCGAGGAGCUUGCUCCUCUGACGUUAGCGGCGGACGGGUGAGUAACACGUGGAUAACCUACCUAUAAGACUGGGAUAACUUCUGGAAACCGGAGCUAAUACCGGAUAAUAUAUUGAACCGCAUGGUUCAAUAGUGAAAGACGGUUUUGCUGUCACUUAUAGAUGGAUCCGCGCCGCAUUAGCUAGUUGGUAAGGUAACGGCUUACCAAGGCAACGAUGCGUAGCCGACCUGAGAGGGUGAUCGGCCACACUGGAACUGAGACACGGUCCAGACUCCUACGGGAGGCAGCAGUAGGGAAUCUUCCGCAAUGGGCGAAAGCUUGACGGAGCAACGCCGCGUGAGUGAUGAAGGUCUUCGGAUCGUAAAACUCUGUUAUUAGGGAAGAACAAAUGUGUAAGUAACUAUGCACGUCUUGACGGUACCUAAUCAGAAAGCCACGGCUAACUACGUG
Molecule: ribosomal RNA, 497 nt
Filed under: uncultured bacterium
Lineage: Bacteria
Description: partial 16S ribosomal RNA
Rfam family: Bacterial small subunit ribosomal RNA
Source: RNAcentral